Molecule: ribosomal RNA, 807 nt
Filed under: uncultured forest soil bacterium
Lineage: Bacteria
Description: bacterial SSU rRNA
Rfam family: Bacterial small subunit ribosomal RNA
Source: RNAcentral
GAACGAGAAAGUGGAGCAAUCCAUGAGUAAAGUGGCGCACGGGUGAGUAACACGCGACUAACCUACCUUUUAGUGGGGGAUAACCUAGGGAAACCUGGGCUAAUACCGCAUAACACUUACGAGUCAAAGCAGCAAUGCGCUGAAAGAGGGGGUCGCGGUCGAUUAGUUAGUUGGCAGGGUAAUGGCCUACCAAGACUGUGAUCGAUAUCCGGCCUGAGAGGGCGCACGGACACACUGGAACUGAAACACGGUCCAGACUCCUACGGGAGGCAGCAGUGGGGAAUUUUGCGCAAUGGGGGAAACCCUGACGCAACAACGCCGCGUGGAGGAUGAAGUCCCUUGGGACGUAAACUCCUUUCGAUCGGGAAGAUUAUGACGGUACCGGAAGAAGAAGCCCCGGCUAACUUCGUGCCAGCAGCCGCGGUAAUACGAGGGGGGCAAGCGUUGUUCGGAAUUAUUGGGCGUAAAGGGUGCGUAGGUGGUUCGGCAAGUCUUGUGUGAAAUCUUCAGGCUCAACUUGAAGUCUGCACAAGAAACUGCCGGGCUUGAGUAUGGGAGAGGUGAGUGGAAUUUCCGGUGUAGCGGUGAAAUGCGUAGAUAUCGGAAGGAACACCUGUGGCGAAAGCGGCUCACUGGACCAUUACUGACACUGAGGCACGAAAGCUAGGGGAGCAAACAGGAUUAGAUACCCUGGUAGUCCUAGCCCUAAACGAUGAUCGCUUGGUGUGGCGGGUAUCCAACCCUGCCGUGCCGAAGCUAACGCGUUAAGCGAUCCGCCUGGGGAGUACGGUCGCAAGGCUGAAACUC